AAUAAAAUGCCUGAAAAAAGGACUAUUUUGAUAGAAUAGAAUAUGUACUUAUGUACUUUUAUUA
RNAcentral lists this transfer RNA (64 nucleotides) under Chalcopis glandulosa. RNAcentral describes it as "tRNA-Ile". The record is from RNAcentral. Lineage: Eukaryota; Metazoa; Arthropoda; Insecta; Hemiptera; Pentatomidae.